AGGAUUGUAGUUAAAAAUAACAUUUGGGUUGCAUUCAAAAGGUGCCUGAUGGGCCUAUCUUG
This 62-nucleotide transfer RNA is filed under the name Tricholepidion gertschi. RNAcentral's name for it is "tRNA-Ala". Lineage: Eukaryota; Metazoa; Arthropoda; Insecta; Zygentoma; Lepidotrichidae. The record is from RNAcentral.